RNAcentral lists this long non-coding RNA (1205 nucleotides) under Triticum aestivum (bread wheat). Its description in RNAcentral is "long non-coding RNA (TAES_LNC024525)". Lineage: Eukaryota; Viridiplantae; Streptophyta; Magnoliopsida; Poales; Poaceae. The record is from RNAcentral.
AAUAUGACUAUGGGAAAUAUCAUUGAUUUAUUUUGAAGCUAACAACUGUAGAUGGAUGGAGUCUUUGUUGUCAUCCCCACAGAUAGACAAAGGUAUGUCACAAUCUUACAGUUUUUAGUUUAUCGCCUGCGUUCAGUUACAUGAAACUAGGAUCUUUUGCACCUUCAAUGUUGUGUGAGCGGCUAACUGAACAUGGCUCAAAAUGUUCUCCUGAGCUUGUACAACUAUAGAGUUAGGAUUUUAAUGCAUGAUAAAGACACAAAUACACAAUUUCCUCUCUAAUAUUCUUACUUAUGAUGCCAGCCCCUACUGAUUAAUGACUUGUUUUAGUGCCCCAUCGUUUGCCAGAGUUAUGUGGUAAGUCAUGUGCAUCCGUAAAUAUAUGAACUGGAAAAUCCACACUUGAGCCUUUACUUUUUCAAGCAUCACACUUGAUUUCGGGACAUGAAGCUUGUCUUGACCAUAGUUCUUGCUAAUUUUGCUCUGUAUAUCGCAGCCCAUCCAUCCAUCCCUGUUAGGCGGAACAACUGGAUGUUGCAUACUACUACUGGCGUGCUAACAACAUGCGUCGAAAUGACAACUGUAUACUAGGAGACUGAAGAAGCCAGAGCAGUUGGCCACCUCCCUGCCUCUACAUGUUAAUUGCCCUUCUUGGCGUCCUGAUGCCAUUUGUACAGAAGUAAUCUCAAGUAAAAGCCAACCAAUAUUUUGCACAGGAGAAACAGUUGAGCCAAAUUCUUUUAACAGCUACCCGAGGUUGUGAAGCGACGGCUGCAAGUUACCAUGGAAACUCGUACAAAGAGCAUGGUCCCUAAUUAAAUUAGCUCUCCCGAUAUGUAUAAUUUCUCAUUCAGAUGUACCAUCCCAGUUGUUCAUAUUGAAUCGGUAUAUAUACAACUUGUCUGCGUUACUGACGGUAGCCGUAUGUAUUCCUCCAAGUUCCAUAUGCAUUCUGCCAGCAUGUUGCCAUGUAGUGAGCCACACCAACCGCAUCAAUUCACCCGUAUGCCGUGCGAAAGGUGGUGCGCUGGGCAUAAAGGUUGGGUGUUUGCAUCGUCGCGUCUGCUUGUCGCCAGGAUUCGGUGUGCUCCUAGUCAGCCCAGUUUGGCAGUAUGCAACUAUGCAUGUGUCCAGUUGCCCUCCUUUCCACGGUAACAAAGUCCGUCCUGGCGAUCUACCGCUGCUCCAGCUCCCAGAUCGGCCCG